GUGGGGAAUCUUGCGCAAUGGGCGAAAGCCUGACGCAGCCAUGCCGCGUGGAUGAUGAAGGUCUUAGGAUUGUAAAAUCCUUUCACCGGUGAAGAUAAUGACUGUAGCCGGAGAAGAAGCCCCGGCUAACUUCGUGCCAGCAGCCGCGGUAAUACGAAGGGGGCUAGCGUUGCUCGGAAUUACUGGGCGUAAAGGGAGCGUAGGCGGACAUUUAAGUCAGGGGUGAAAUCCCGAGGCUCAACCUCGGAACUGCCUUUGAUACUGGGUGUCUUGAGUGUGAGAGAGGUGAGUGGAACGCCGAGUGUAGAGGUGAAAUUCGUAGAUAUUCGGAAGAACACCAGUGGCGAAGGCGACUCACUGGCUCAUUACUGACGCUGAGACUCGCAAGCGUGGGGAGCAAACAGGAUUAGAAGCCCCGGUAGUCC
RNAcentral lists this ribosomal RNA (425 nucleotides) under uncultured bacterium. RNAcentral's name for it is "partial 16S ribosomal RNA". It matches the Rfam family "Bacterial small subunit ribosomal RNA", at positions 354 to 796 of the family's 1533-position model. The record is from RNAcentral.